This is a non-coding RNA of Equus caballus (horse), 1482 nucleotides long. Lineage: Eukaryota; Metazoa; Chordata; Mammalia; Perissodactyla; Equidae. The record is from RefSeq and is a predicted model, not a curated record.
AACUGAGUGUUUUCCCUUCCCCACAAAGGGAUGGCCAGUUUUCCUCUUACAACGGCAGUGGAGGAGCGAGGAAAAUCCUGUGUACCCGUCGGAAAAAAAUACUGGGAAAGGAUUGGAUAUACAGCAUCCUUGGGGGACCACCUCUCCAAACUCCAGGAUCCCAACCAAGAGAAGAGUCUGUCUGCAUCAGAAAUUGCUGCAGCGGCUUCAUUCCUGCUCUUCCUUCAAUUUCAUUUCCUCCACUUCAAACCAAAAAGUGACUAGUGUGCACUUGGUGUGUGCUAAGCCCUGGGCUGGACACCAGUGAUACAAAGAUGGGCAGGACUAAGACGUGACACAAGAUGCUCAGAAGGCAGUGGUGGUGAGAGACAAAGAAACCAUCACCCAACAGGGUGAUCAGUGUGACCUGGUGAUUAGAAGAACGACGAGCAGAGGAAAGAUGGACUGUAAUUCUGCAGGAGGGGAUCAGGGAAGUCUUCUCAGAGUACAUCAGAGAUGUGUCUCAAUAAAGGAGGUGAAGCGUACAUGGCGUGCAAGGUGGAGAACACAUUCCAGAGGAGAGAGCAUCGGGAAAGGCAUUGAGGAGGUAUUAGGAAGGCGCCGUGUUCUAGAAACUCCAGGUAGUUUGACACAGGCAGAUUUUUCUCUAUGGGGGAUGAGAGGGAAAAAAGAGACUGGAGAAGAAUGAAGAAUCCAGAGGAAGCCAGGCCUCACUUGACAGCCUAAGGAGCUUACAUGUGUCCAUAGAUGAUGGGGAGCCAUUAAAGGAUUGGAAGCAGAGAAGCGACACAGUCAGCUCUGUGUACCGACGUAGCGUAUGAGCUGGACAGAGGCCAAACUAGAGUUGAAUGGAUGGAAGGUUACCACAAUAUUCCAGGAGAGGAAGCAAAGCUUCACACUGACCAAUCACCGAAAGUCCCUCUGUUGACUAGACCAGAGCAGAUCGAAGCAAACGCUCUGCCUUUUGCCAGAUCCUGUUGCCUUCAUGGGACAGUGCUGUGGUUCUCCAAACUCGUACAGGUUACACAGGCAGGUAUAGAACACCAGACUAUGCGGAAAGAGAAUAAAAAUGGGAUGUUUAUCUGGGCUACAAUUGGUCCCCAAAGCGAAUGAUGAAACACUGUCCCCACGAAUGGUACCUGCCACAUAGUUCCAUUGGUGGCAGCCCUGGAGGUCACCAGGAGUCUCAACAUCCCUCUCCCAGAGACUGGCACCUCAGCAGCUCAGGUGCAUGGCUCCACAUCCUGCCACAGCACUUGCCAGAGCCAAAGCUUACCCUCCAGGGCCACCCUGGUAAGUGCAGGAUUUUGAGCACUGGCCAAUUUAAAUCUGUAAUUCAACUAAAAAAUGGCAAUAGAAAGUUAUUGGAAAUUUUCUUUUAAUAUGAUUUUCCAAGGUUCAGAAUCUCCUCACCCAUCAACCUCACCACCAAAGUCAAGGCCUAAAACGAGAUUAAAAACACUGUUUUUCUGGAUUGCUUAA